RNAcentral lists this ribosomal RNA (439 nucleotides) under uncultured bacterium. RNAcentral describes it as "bacterial SSU rRNA". It matches the Rfam family "Bacterial small subunit ribosomal RNA", at positions 954 to 1392 of the family's 1533-position model. The record is from RNAcentral.
UGGGAACGCGAAGAACCUUACCUACUCUUGACAUCCAGAGAACUUAGCAGAGAUGCUUUGGUGCCUUCGGGAACUCUGAGACAGGUGCUGCAUGGCUGUCGUCAGCUCGUGUUGUGAAAUGUUGGGUUAAAGUCCCGCAACGAGCGCAACCCUUAUCCUUUGUUGCCAGCGAUUCGGUCGGGAACUCAAAGGAGACUGCCAGUGAUAAACUGGAGGAAGGUGGGGAUGACGUCAAGUCAUCAUGGCCCUUACGAGUAGGGCUACACACGUGCUACAAUGGCAUAUACAAAGAGAAGCGACCUCGCGAGAGCAAGCGGACCUCAUAAAGUAUGUCGUAGUCCGGAUUGGAGUCUGCAACUCGACUCCAUGAAGUCGGAAUCGCUAGUAAUCGUGGAUCAGAAUGCCACGGUGAAUACGUUCCCGGGUCUUGUACACACCG